This 1017-nucleotide long non-coding RNA is filed under the name Homo sapiens (human). Its description in RNAcentral is "non-protein coding lnc-ECHDC1-3:2". Lineage: Eukaryota; Metazoa; Chordata; Mammalia; Primates; Hominidae. The record is from RNAcentral.
GCUGUACAGGAAGCAUGGCACCAACAUCUGCCCAGCUCCUAGGGAGGCCUCGGGGAGCUUUUACUCAUGGUGGAGGGUGAAGCAGGAGCAAGUACAUCAUACGGCGAAAGCAAGAGCAAAAUUUCUCACAUUAUGCAAGUAUUCUGCCAAAAAUGAUGUUCUCUUUCUUCCUUGGAGAUUUGCAGUGCAUUAACAUAUUAAAGACUCUUAAUAAUUUCUCCAGUAAAUAAACUUGAUUAUUCAUUUUUUAAUCCAUCAUUUCCCAAAAUUAAUUGGCCAUGGAAUUAUCUAUUAAUAUAAUACCUUGUUAAACCCUGCAUUGCUGUGCACCACAGAACACAGUUUGGGAAACAGUGUUCAAUUAACAAGCCCUUCUGUAAAACAGCAUGCUUCAAUUCAGAAACACAUGAGCUGAACAAAUACUUGACACCAAAUGACUUUACAGAAUGUAUUUUCACAAUAAGAAAGUAGAAACUAGGUUCCAAGAUGGCUGAAUAGGAACAGCUCCAGUCUACAGCUUCUGGCGUGAGCGACACAGAAGAUGGGUGAUUUCUACAUUUCCAACUGAGGUACUGGGUUCAUGUCACUGGGGUAAAAACAUGCCAAAUUGUAAAGACCAUCGAUGCUAGGAAGAAACCGCAUCAACUAGCGAGCAAAAUAACCAUCUAACAUCAUAAUGACAGGAUCGAAUUCACACAUAACAAUAUUAACCUUAAAUGUAAAUGGGCUAAAUGCUGCAAUUACAAGACACAGACUGGCAAAUUGGAUAAAGAGGCAAGACCCAUCAGUGUGCUGUAUUCAGGAGACCCAUCUCACAUGCAGAGACACAUAUAGGCUCAGAAUAAAGGGAUGGAGGAUGAUCUACCAAGCAAAUGGAAAACAUAAAAAACGAGGGGUUGGAAUCCUAGUCUCUGAUAAAACAGACUUUAAACCAACAAAGAUCAGAAGAGAACUCAGGAUUCAAAAACUCACUCAAAACUGCUCAACUACAUGGAAACUGAACAACCUGCUCCUGAA